This is a long non-coding RNA of Zeugodacus cucurbitae (melon fly), 8435 nucleotides long. RefSeq lists it as uncharacterized. The transcript is spliced from 2 exons. Lineage: Eukaryota; Metazoa; Arthropoda; Insecta; Diptera; Tephritidae. The record is from RefSeq and is a predicted model, not a curated record.
UACUAUGAGUCCUUGUAUUACCUAAUGGAUGCCAAAUUGUCCGCGAGCUAACAGCAUUAGUUAUAAAGUUUUACGAUCGGCCUAACAUACUGACAGUGAAUCUGUGGGUUUUUCAUUCAUCACUCAAUAAACAACUCUACUAUUUAAGUGUCCAAAAAAAAUAACGGUUUUAAUAAAAUUUGACAAAAAUCAGUAACAGCUAAGCGAACACCUAUUAUUUUGUCAUUGAGGGUAUGUAUUUUAGAGUAUAGCCUUCAUUAGUUUCUAAUUUCUUUAUAGAAAUUCCUUAAGUGUUCACUUUCAAAAUUACGCUUAGGCAACGAGAGGCAGAACCUUCCAUGUAUACACUACAUAGAUCCAUUGUAUACUUUAUAUCUAACUAUGUGUAAUUAAUUUUCAGCUCUAAAGUAGCAUAAACAGAAAAGUACAGGCGAUUCAAAAAUAAUGAAUAGCUUUGCAAUUUUUUUCAUUUCAUUAAAAUUACGAUCACUGGUAACCAGUUUGUAAUGCCAGACAGAACAAAUUAUUGCAUUUCAUCCUAAAAAGUAGACACAUAUUUUUUAUUAUCUCAUAUUCCAUGUUUUAUUCCCACAAUAGUGAAUAUUGCAAAGAGGUAGACAGUUCAAUGGUCAAGGAUGUUGAGCGAAAAUGCCGUUACCCUUCCGCGCAACAAGCACAACUGGUUUUAAUUCAUCUAUGCUUCUAUUGUUUGCUAAUACGUGCACUAGUAAUUGAUGCUGGUCCAGCUUUUGGUCCAGGUGUGCUCUAUCGUACGUAUUGCCGGCUAUGCAUUAAACGCACCACCAAAAAUCAUCAUCUAGCGUGCAACAAAAAGCAAAAGCAUUGAACUUUUAUACAAAUUCCUUGCGAUCAAUUGUUUUGCUACAAUAAACUUGUAUUUCAAGUUUCAAAGGGACGCGAAUGUUAACUUUAUCUACCUUAUUGUCCAUUGUCCUUGUUCGUAUGGGCAAAUACUGCUGCAUUGGUGUAUCUUUGUUAUACGGCCUUCGUUCCGUUAAGCCGAGCGCUUUAUAAAGCCGUGAUUUUGCGCAGUUACGAUCAGUUUCAUUUCGAUCUUCAAACAUUCAACAUCAACAAAGAUCAUAGUGGUUUCAGUCAACGUGACAGGAUCACACAGAUCCUGCCAUUGGAUUGGAGUUUUCUUCACUCGUGUGCUUUCGAGUGAAUUUACCCAUCAGUGUUGAUCCUCAAUCCGUGUUUUAAAUUGCAACAAAAAGUCAGAUUCACAUGAAAUUAAUAUGAAAAACUAAAAUACUAAAAUAAAAACGUUUGAAUUACAAAAAUAUUAAUUGGAUACAGAAAAGCAAUAAAUCGUUAAAAACAUAUAAACAAUUAAGAAACACAUUAAUCAACGAAAAACCAGUUUUAAAAACCACCAGCAAUAAGUAUAAAAGUUUUUAAAUGAAUUAUUAAGUGAAAGUCAGUUCCAAGGGCAAACGUCCAACAACAAAUCAUGCUGUGUUCUAUAAAGAAGAAUUUAAAUCUAAUCUAGUAUUUUUACAUUUACAGGACCUCUCUUUAAUUACCCACAAGGAGUGUACGCAUAAUAUGAUCAAUUGAAACUCAUCAAAAUUCUGAAAUACGUCAUACAAAAUCUACAUUUCUAAAUACAUACAUACAUCCAAAAUGAAUGUCUAAAUCUGUUUGAAACUUUUUUUAUACAACUUCGAUGCUUCUCAAAACAAAAUACUCUCCUAAAUGAGUACUUAAGAUGAUAAAUUCGACUCACAUUUGGUAGCAAAACAAAAGCCAUAUUAAGAUACACUCACACUCAUUUUAUAUGCGGCGAAGAAGUGUGACUUUCACGGGGAAAUUCACAGGAGAAACAGCGGAGAAGCAGAUAAAAUCCGUGCAAAGAUAAACUACCCCUUCAGUGUACAACUACUACUACAAAACAUGCAAAGGCGAAAUGCUAUUUUCCCCUGCAAAGGACACUCAACAGGACAGAGAUAAAGGCAUCACCCCAACGUACAAGCAGAUCUAUUCAACCCCUGGCGAAUAGCUAAAGCAGCAAAACUUCAUAAAUCUACAACCAACUCUCUCACCAACACAGUCUCAAAUGCAAAGCAAAACGAACUUUCGCGUUUUAUAAUAUGGUUGAAAUGCAAUGCUCAUAUUUCGGAUAGUUUAGGCUAGUGUUUUGGCUGUGACAAAAUUGCUACCGGCUAAUUGGCAUUGCAACCAAAUUUAGCAGCGUGAAGUAAAUAGCUGUAAAUGUAUCAUGGAAGUCCAAAACUGAGGUGAGCUACUGUUAAAAUCACAAUUUGUACCAAAAUCAAAAAUUAUUAAAAACAAAAAUACAAAAAAUGGCGCGAACCAUACAAAUCAACUGAGCGUCCAGCAAAUAUCAAGGCCACAGCGACGCGUUCUAGAUCAAACAAAAGCUUGUAUACUUUAAGCGACAUGUAGCUAUAAGCUUUGAGUUCAAGCUCAAUUAUAAUAGUGAAACAAAAGCCAAAAUUAAAAAUAUGCCACACACAACACUGUGCAACAAAGUUCUUCAUGUACAUCCAAGAAGCUGCAGAAAUACUGAGAUUUUCUAAAAAAAUUAACUUGCAAUAGUUAUGGUUUAAAACAUUAUUUCGUUUGAUAACAGUAUGUACUAUUUGUACUUAAAAAGUUAAUAAAACUUGAAAUUACUUAAAUUCGUUUGUGAAAUUUCCACCACCAUUUACUCUCUUCCAAUUCCACCACUACGCAGAACUUUCGACAGAACUAAAAUGGCAGCCGCUUCUUUGAUGUCAUUGAAGAAUGAAAUAGACCGGCAAUUUCAAGUGAAAUGAAAAUCAACUGCGUUGAUUGAAAAAGAUUCUUUUAGCAAUUUGCUAAAGUUGAAGUGAUUAAACCAAUAGCGUUCGAAAUUUUUAAUUCCAAGGAUUAUGAGCUUCAAGAAAUAUGCAAAAUGUUAAAAGAAAUUUUUACACAACGCCAAAAGCUCUAAAUCCAUAUUUAAUUUUUGCGGUAUAAAACGAAAUCUUGCAUACAGCGCUCAAUAUGCUAUAAAAUCAUUAUUUUUAAUUGUUAGUUAUUUCGAGAUCAACAAAAUUAAUAUGUAAUUUUUCGAAUUUUUAUCUUAACCUUCGUAAUAUUUCAUGUUCAUCAAAAUUACAAUUUUUCAAUAUAAUUACCAUUAACUAUCAUGGUUAGCCAUUAAGAGUUCAAAACUCUUCAAUUAUUAAAGCGAAUUAUUUAUUCUGACCAAAUCAUUCCUUGCAACUUCUAAUUAAUGCCAGUUAAAAACUUCUACCAGUACAAAUUUCAUUUUAAUAGGAAUUGUGAAAAGAAAUUCUAUGCUUUCUUUAAUUAUUAUACAAUUCUUGAGUAAAAUAUUUAUUUAUGACUUUUUCGCGUCAAACCAAUGCAAAAAAAAUUUCAAAAUAAUUUGUGUAGUUAAUGUAAGCAAAAUAUAAAAAAAUAACAUACAAAACAAUUUUCAAUAUUUCGACAACAUUAAGCAAUCUUGACAAAAAAAUUUUAAUUUUUUUAAAUUUUUAAUAUAAAAAAUAACCAAGGAAACAAUUUUCAAUAUUUCGACAAUAUUAAGCAAGCCAUAUUUUGACCAAAAAAAAAAAAAAAACAAUUUUAAUUUUUUUUUCUUUUUUCCAUUUAUCUAAUAUACAUAUUAUAAAAAAAAUAUAUUCAAAUCGGUUUUAGUUGAAAAAAAUAACAUUUCAAACUCAUGCUUAGUAAACAACAAUAUUUUAUGAGACCUAAAUUUCGAAAAUUAUACUUUUCAAAAUGUGCUCCUUUAUUAUUUUGACAAUAUUAAGCAAACCAAUUUUUUUCUUUGCAUUCAAAAAAGUGAUUAUUUCUCUUCGAAGUAAACAAUUUUAAAUUUUUGAAUUAUUCCAUAAAAAUUUAAAUUUGAUGUAAUCAAAAUUAAUUUUAAAAAUCUGUAUAACUUAAUAUUUCGAAAAUAAUAAUUAUUCAAAUGUAGAUAUUUCUUAUUUUGACAAUAUUUAAAACCAAAUAUUAAAACCAAAAACUUUGCCUUCAAAAAAGUGAUUAUAUUACUUCAAAAAUAAUUUUUUUUCACUAAAAUAUGAAUUUAAAAAAUUUUAAAUGGUUUGAAAUAAGAAUAUUACAAUAUUUUAUAAAAUUUAAUACAUCGAAAAUAAUAAUUUUGAAAAUGUAGACCUUUGUGAGAAGUAGUCAUAAGUAAGCAUAAUUUUGAAACUAUUAAUAAGCCAUUAGCCAAACAUCUUUUUAAAGCAAAAAUACACAACGGCAGCAUACUAAAAAACGUAAUACGGUUAAAUUUAGCGAAUUCUAAAGAAAUAGCGUAUGUAAAUAAUAACUUAACAAAAUUAAUUAAAAAACAUUAUUAUGCUUAAACGUUUCAAAUUAAAGUAAAUGAUUUAAAUUUAAAAAAAAUCUGUAAUUAAAAAAUAAUUAAUAUUUCAAAUUCAUUUUCACUAAAAAUAUAAAAGUUAAUUCUUUAACAAUAAUAUACUAUAACAAGGGAAGCAAAAAUUUUAACUGGAAAAAACUGAAAAUUUAAUAAUUUAAAAAUUUAUUUUUAGAAUUUUCAAAAUUCAACAAAUGUUGCGGCUUGCGAACAUACCUUUGGCACACGAGAAAAUUUCGAAGCAUUUACAAGUAACUGUUUUGAAUGAACAAGAAUUAAGAAACAAUACCAAAUUCAUAAAAUCACAAAUUAAUCAUCAUUAAAACACAAAAUUGUGAUAGCACAACGUCGACCAUUUAUUUUCAAAAAAUUAUUCAGCUCAAAAUCAAUCCAAUUUAUCAAACAUAAAACAAUAAUAAUUUAUUUUAAACUUAUUGAAAAACAUAUUAGAAACUCCAAAAAACACCACAAAAUGCAUACAAUUACAUAAAUUGUACUUCACGCAUACGUGAAUAACCAAAUUAUAUAAAAUAUAAAGACAACAAGAGCGACCUAUAAAGCCAACUUAAAGUGACACUAAAGCGCGCAUUAGUAUACAUAUUAACAGAGACAUAAAUUACGUUAUGCGGCAGAACGGAAGUCAUUAUGCGACAAACGCAAGAAAUUUUCAAAUUCAUACUCUUCUGGUAUUAGUCAACUACAAAGCUCAUUACAACUCCCCGGAAGGACACAAUAAAAAAUACACUUUGGCAAGCAACUCGGCUCGACAAGACAAAGUCAUCUUACAAAAGGCAAUACAAAAAAAACAACAAACAAAAACACUUUAUUUAACAGCAAAAUUUUUGAGUACGCGAAACAUUUUACGGCAUAGUGGUAAAAUAUUUCAAAACGUGGCACAAAAUUAACAAACCGAAUGAUAGGCGGUGCUAGAGAAAUUGAAUAUUUCGAUAGUGCGAAGUUUUGACCAUAGGUCCAUAAAAAUGCGCUGCCUACCAUUUGAAAACUAACUAAGAGUGGCUAGGCAUUAUACCCUAUUUAAAAAAAAUCUACCAAAAUCAAACUCUAUUGCAAAUUAACACAUAAAAUGGCCAACCAUAUAUCAUGACAGUCCCCCAAAUGUAAACAAAUGCACCAGCACUGAAAUCUAUAAAUCUGAAAUCAAAAUCUGUAACUCUCGAUUACUUAUUCAAACGGAAAUGCAAAAAGCUCGUUUAUUUGUCAGAACUUUCAACACAAACGAUAAAACGACGAAAUUCAAAUCAAAAUCAACUUUUGAAUUACAUCAAAAAACUAUAACUCCCGCACCUCUACACGCAUUUUACCUACAUACGUGGGUCAAAAGACCCAACAAAAAUAUGAAACUCAUUCAACAAGAAAAUUCAGCUUUGGCAGCGUUCUUAAAUUGUGGUCAAAUUUCUUGAAGAAACUCUGUAAAUCUGGAUUAACAUAUGGACAUAUGUUUUACACAUAAAGCCACACACACAUAUUCAAAAGUUAAUAGCAUUGCACAAAAAAAUAGAGCAAAAACUACAACAUCAAAAACAAAUUGAACUCAAGCAAUUCCAUGAGCAUUAGAAACAAAAACGUAGUUGUGGCAAAAGAACCCUCUGAAAUAUAUUUACAACGAACUUUCAUCAAAUAAAUAAACAAAAGUAAAACAACACACGCCGCAUAUUCAAAUCAGGUUCAACGUCAGAACACUGGCAGUCAAGCGGUUUUUACACAAUCUUUCAAACACAAAAAUUCCCAAAGACACACACAUGCACACAUAUCUCAUCAACAUCGACAACAUCGAAAUUGCUAUUGAGCAACAAUACAACAACUGCAAUGUGUAAAAGCUUCGACAGCAUUAGCAACAACACAUAAGCAACAGCAAGACACACAGCAGCAUUUAAACUUUGCAUCAUAAAUUUAUGAACCAGCAGCAGUCGCAGUAAUUGCUAUCAAUAAAAUAUAAACCCCAAAAAACGUUCAAACUCUCACUCACACUAUGGCCAUGCCCAGUGCCAGACCGACCAACAAGCGGCCAGCAUGUCAGGCCAAACUUACCCACAAAGCACUCCAUCGUGUUAUCGCAUUCAACUAUUCCACCCCCCAAUCACUGCCAACCCGCCCAUUUGGCCUAGCUAAUGACAUGAGGCCGCUGUAAAUGAAAUUACAAUAUUUCUAUUGAACAUGGCAGACAGACAGCCAGCAACUAAGUGAAAAGAUUGCAAAGACAGCAUUUGAAGAAUAAGAAAAGCCAAAAUUCAAAGCAAAAUUACUUUCAAAAUCACUUGAUGCAUGUAAGAAAUGUACACCUACAUACAUAUAUUAUAUCUUAGUAAUGUUUAAUCUUAAGUUGUCCGAACCAUAUGUGUAUACACAUAAACCCAAACCUAUUGCUCUACAAAGCCAAAUUCUGACGAUUUAUUUCGCUAUUCUUAUUUUUCUUUAAUGAAAAUUUCAUCAAACUAAAGAAGACCCGUUUCGAUAUCGAUUUCCAUCAGCAAUCACCAUCAGCUAGCAUAUAGUACUUUGUACAAUGCAUUCAUUAGCAUUACAAAUCUCCUUCAAAUAUUUUUUAUAUUUAUAUAAUCAUUUAAUCAAAAGAGAUGCUCCUCCGCAACACACACUGAUACAUCCUUACAUAUUUAUUAGCGAAUAUCCUUUCUUAUUUGAUACAAUUUCUUUAAAGUUUUGACACAAACACAGCCAAAAGACGGAGGGAGUUCAAAAUUGUUAUUAUGUGAAAAUUCAGUUCAGUUGAGAAUUCAGAAACCCUUCACUAUUUCGGUAGUUUACCACUAAAUCAUUAUUAGACACAUAAAUAUUUUGACAUUCACUGGCAAUUUCAAUUUUCUACAAAAUGUGACUCACUCACUUCUGCAUGUAACGAAGUUUCCACGAACCGCCGUCAAUGAUUUUCAAAAUAUGUGGUUGGGAUCUGUCCAGAGAGACUGCCUUGCGAAAUCAAAUAUUGCUUGAUUGUGCGGUAAAGAAUCAUCAGGGGGGAUACCCAGUGUAAUUGCUUUAUAUACGCAAUGAACGAAAAAGCGCCAGAAAGCGCAAUACAUACACUCAUAUAUAGUUAUGUACAUAUUUGUAAGCAAUGAAAACGUAAACCAAAUGAAGCACCGAAUGAGGCACCCAAAUUGCAAUAAAUUAAACCCACUACGAGUAUAUAGAAUGAUUCGAACAAUAACCGAAAAUAAAUUAAAGGUUAGUAAUUUAUAUGGCAAGCGAAUAAUUUAUUUAUAUUUGAUCAGCUCUUACGUAAUCUACAUAAAAAUACAAAUGCAAAAACUUAACUCAAGCAAGAAAACUAUCAACAUGAGACCAAGUUAAAAUUGUAAUAAUCAUUAAGAAUUAAUAAGGUUAUGGGAGCAUAUCUCCUAGCAUUAAUCGAAAACAUUAUCGUAUGAAUAACUCCAAAGUACACGUAACUACACUCUGUAUCCCCUCAAUUGUGGACACAUUUUGUUGUCGCCAUAAUACGAUUAUAAUGUAAGCAAACGAAUUGCUUAAAUUCGUUAAUAUUUAUUAAGAAAAAGCCAAAAAUCGAUGAGCUUUUGGAAUCAACUAAAGUUAAGCUGGUCAUGCAAGUGAUUUAUGGUACAUAAAGCUUGUAUGCCGCAUAAAAAUUGUAAAUGCCAAUCCUUUUGUCUAAAAUGUUCUCUUCUUAUCGAUUUUGUAUUCGCAAACAUUUUAGACGAGACGAUUGUUGCAUUUUUUAACAACAACAUUAUUUAUUUUCAACAUAUGUACAAAAUUAUAUAUAGAUAUUAGUGACAAUCGUUAAAGUGUUAUUCAAUCUCUUUGAUAGAUCUAGCAUUUCCGGUAUACAUACAUACAUACAUAUAGACUGCAUGCUAAUUCAAAUAUAAGUAAAAUUACAAAUUAAAAAUAUAUCUGAAUUAAAUGUUAAGUAAAGUAUACAAAAAUUGUUAACACUAUCAAAUACAAAAGUAGUUUCAUAUAACUCUAUAACUGUAAAGUAAUGUGCUGUUCAAAAAAAUUAUAAAUCGUAUAAUAAAACACAAUUGUACAAACCAAUUUGCUCCUAAUAAAUCAAUAUCAACUCAAA